This 466-nucleotide ribosomal RNA is filed under the name uncultured bacterium. RNAcentral describes it as "partial 16S ribosomal RNA". It matches the Rfam family "Bacterial small subunit ribosomal RNA", at positions 28 to 507 of the family's 1533-position model. The record is from RNAcentral.
GACGAACGCUGGCGGUGUGCUUAACACAUGCAAGUCGAACGGUAAGGCCCUUUCGGGGGUACACGAGUGGCGAACGGGUGAGUAACACGUGAGUAACCUGCCCUCAUCUCUGGGAUAACGGUCGGAAACGGUUGCUAAUACUGGAUAUGAGCUUGCAAGGCAUCUUGUGGGUUGGAAAGAUUUUUUUGGUUGGGGAUGGACUCGCGGCCUAUCAGCUCGUUGGUGAGGUAGUGGCUCACCAAGGCUUCGACGGGUAGCCGGCCUGAGAGGGCGACCGGCCACAUUGGGACUGAGAUACGGCCCAAACUCCUACGGGAGGCAGCAGUGGGGAAUAUUGCACAAUGGACGGAAGUCUGAUGCAGCAACGCCGCGUGCGGGAUGACGGCCUUCGGGUUGUAAACCGCUUUCAAUUGUGACGAAGCUUUUUGUGACGGUAGCAGUAGAAGAAGCACCGGCUAACUACGUG